RNAcentral lists this ribosomal RNA (447 nucleotides) under uncultured bacterium. RNAcentral describes it as "bacterial SSU rRNA". It matches the Rfam family "Bacterial small subunit ribosomal RNA", at positions 330 to 792 of the family's 1533-position model. The record is from RNAcentral.
CCCAGACUCCUACGGGAGGCAGCAGUGGGGAAUAUUGGGCAAUGGGCGCAAGCCUGACCCAGCGACGCCGCGUGAGGGAAGACGGUCUUCGGAUUGUAAACCUCUUUCAGCAGGGAAGACAAAAGGACGGUACCUGCAGAAGAAGCCACGGCUAACUACGUGCCAGCAGCCGCGGUAAUACGUAGGUGGCAAGCGUUAUCCGGAAUUACUGGGUGUAAAGGGUGUGUAGGCGGGGCUGCAAGUCAGAUGUGAAAAUUAUGGGCUCAACCCAUAACCUGCAUUUGAAACUGUAGUCCUUGAGUGAUGGAGAGGCAGGCGGAAUUCCGUGUGUAGCGGUGAAAUGCGUAGAUAUACGGAGGAACACCAGUGGCGAAGGCGGCCUGCUGGACAUUAACUGACGCUGAGGCGCGAAAGCGUGGGGAGCAAACAGGAUUAGAUACCCCAGUA